This 497-nucleotide ribosomal RNA is filed under the name uncultured bacterium. RNAcentral describes it as "partial 16S ribosomal RNA". It matches the Rfam family "Bacterial small subunit ribosomal RNA", at positions 28 to 507 of the family's 1533-position model. The record is from RNAcentral.
GAUGAACGCUGGCGGCGUGCCUAAUACAUGCAAGUCGAGCGAACAGAUGAGGAGCUUGCUCCUCUGACGUUAGCGGCGGACGGGUGAGUAACACGUGGAUAACCUACCUAUAAGACUGGGAUAACUUCGGGAAACCGGAGCUAAUACCGGAUAAUAUAUUGAACCGCAUGGUUCAAUAGUGAAAGACGGUCUUGCUGUCACUUAUAGAUGGAUCCGCGCUGCAUUAGCUAGUUGGUAAGGUAACGGCUUACCAAGGCAACGAUGCAUAGCCGACCUGAGAGGGUGAUCGGCCACACUGGAACUGAGACACGGUCCAGACUCCUACGGGAGGCAGCAGUAGGGAAUCUUCCGCAAUGGGCGAAAGCCUGACGGAGCAACGCCGCGUGAGUGAUGAAGGUCUUCGGAUCGUAAAACUCUGUUAUUAGGGAAGAACAAAUGUGUAAGUAACUAUGCACAUCUUGACGGUACCUAAUCAGAAAGCCACGGCUAACUACGUG